RNAcentral lists this long non-coding RNA (1150 nucleotides) under Daphnia magna. RNAcentral's name for it is "uncharacterized LOC116933980, transcript variant X2". The record is from RNAcentral. Lineage: Eukaryota; Metazoa; Arthropoda; Branchiopoda; Diplostraca; Daphniidae.
UGUGCAACCCUCCCCAAUAUUACCCACAGGGGAAUCAUCUCCCUACCCUAGUUUUUCUUACUUACUCAUGGCCGGAAAGUUGUUAUUAAAAUUUAUCUGGCAAUCACACCAUGCGACAGGAAACUCGUCUGCCAGCCAGUGCCAGCCGCAAUCAGUAUAGUCGCGUGGUUUGGCGAAGUAGAUUGCUGUUCUAUGUGCUAAUGCUGUUCGGUGUGCUACUGUUUUUGUGCGCUGGUGAAGGUGAUUGUUGUUAAGGUUCAUGUUUAUUCUGUAACCACCAGAGGAAAAAUUCAUGAAUACAUGGAAAAGACGUUCGAAUUCCGUGAUAGAGAGAGCACAUUUUGAUUUACGUCAGCGAGUGAAAUUCUUUUGGAAUAUCCCCGGUUUAUUGAUGUUGAAGAAGGAUCGCUGAUUCUUCUUGACUUUCAUCGUAAAUAUCCGGACACGCAUUAUUCAUUACAAAUGCGCUUCCUUAAACGUUUUUCUACUUCCCUGACGUUGUUGGCUAAAAGGCAAAAAAUAGAUGUUCCCAAUUCAGCUGAUGAUUGUCUGAAAUCACUAGCUUUGUGUUUGAAGUUGAUGCCGUCCGUCUACAAAAUAAAAAAAGCAUCAUUUGAAUCAAAACUAGAUCGGAUGUUUCACUUCGUGAAGCAAAACGCUUCGAUUGCAGAGGCUGUGAAAGGAAAGGAUGCUGUCCACCACAAACAGCCCUACCUUAUUGUUCUAGGAUCUUUUGAGCAUCCUUUGUUCUUAAACUUAGUUGUGGACCAAACUGUUAUUCCACUUGGCCCAGACUGCCAGAGGGCUUUUAAUAUUUUGUUCGCAUCCUUUUGAAUUUUCAGGCUUGAAUAUCCAACAUACCUGGAUAAAUUUUUUCUUUUUUUUUGAGCAAUUUGUGUAUCAGGUAUUUUUAGGAGAAGACUGUUAUACAAUUUCUUCUUCAAAUCAAGAUUUCGCCAAUGUGCUUGACGAUAUCGCUUCAAAAAAUAUGUCUGGUGCUGUUGGUGAUGUUUAGCAUAGUUGCUUUUGAGGACGUUUGAAACAUUCAUCAAACUUUACCCGAGUUUUACUUAAAGUAUUUCAUAAUGUUAUGUAAUUCUCGAUGGAGAUUUUGUGUGCUUCUUGUUUGUAAUAAAAAUUUUCAAUCUCA